CCGUCUUUUUUCUAUGAGGGGUCUGUUAUCAGCUGACCGGUGUCCCUAAAAGGAUACUGUGAAGUCCUGAGCCCCGCAACCUGGGAAUGGGACUCUGAUUGGACACGAGUUUCUUGCAGAUGUGAUUAUACUCAAGAGGAAGCCAUUAGGGUGAGCCCUGAUUUGAUGACAAGCAUCCUCAUAAGAAGAGGAAAACACGGACACAGAGACACAAGCAGAUGGUUCCAGGACAGAUGCAGAGGCCAGAGGGACGUGGUCACAGCCACGGAUAGCAGGAGCCCCCAGAAGCUGGGAGAGGCAGGAAGGGUCCUCCCCUGGAGCCUCGAGAGGAAGCGUGGCCCUGCCCACACCGUGACCUCCGACUCCGGACCCCCAGGACUGGGAGAGGUUCUGCGAGUGCUGCGUGGGCCCCGUCUGCGGCCUCUCUGGUGGAGCCCCAGGAAACACAGGCUUGCGUAGGGUCAUAUUCCGUCUGCUGUCACAUCUCCCUGCCCCCAGCCUGUGACGCAGUCAUGGCCUUGACACUUUGGAGGGUUCCAGGGCUGUCUCUCCACAGCCUGGCGCUCCGUCUGGGUCUGAAGGUGGUUCUGUGUCAUAAAGUCCAGGCUGUGCUGGGUGACUGCGGGGCAGGACGGGUAUGUGGGGAGCUCUCCCAAAACUGCCAAUGCCCGCUCCUCCCCCAUCUCCCGUUCACACCCCGGCCUGGCUGCAUCCGGGAGACUUCGAAGUGCACUGGAUGGAGGGUGCUGGAUCCUCGCACUGCGCCCCGCCCUCCCACGCACUGCUGGGCCUGCAGGCUCCCACUGUCCUCCUGGCAGCCCCGAGAGUGCUCUGGAGACCGAGGGUCGGCACUAGGGCUGCUCCUGCUGCUGGGCGCCGUGGUGCCCAGAUCCUCUCUGUGCACACAGAUGCCCCUGUAUUUAUGCCUCUCUCUCUCUGAAAUCCCUGAGAUUGCAAAGACACCUCUAAUUCUACGCCACUUUUCUUCUGCAGUGGCCCUGUCCCUUUACCAAUGGGGACCCUGCUACAUCACGCACGAUCCUGGAUCUGCCUCCCUGGCUCUGCCCUGUGGGGGCCGCACCGCACAGGGGGAGAAGGCGGCUGUGGUGGGCUCCCGCAGGUCCCGGGACCCAGGCUUUGGGGUCUGAAGCUGAACAAAGCCUUGAAGGUGAGGGACGAACCAGCGCGGCCCUCCACACGCCAGAACACGACCCAGCCAUGAAAGGAGCAAGGCUCUACCCAGGCCACAGCGCGGACACGCCCUGAGGACGUUGCACCCUGUGAGAGACACCAGACACAAAAGACCUGGGAGGGCCCUGGAGGAGGCUGACUCACGGAGACCAGAAGGGCCGAGGCGACACCUGCCUUUUUAGGAAACAGACACCUGAGGCAUGCACUGGCUUGCGUCACCAGGUAGGGACAGACCCAUGCGGGUUUGGUGCUGCUCCUGUCAUCCCGAGCACCACUCUGUCCUGAGAUACUGAGGCGGUUGGCCUGAUUGCCACCUCCACAGCUCCAGGUGGCCUCUGACGAGCUCCCGGCCUGGGGUUGGAGAUAGGAUCAACCGCAGGGCUGUUUCUUCUGCAAGAGCCCGCAGGCAGCGCUGACUGGGCCCGCAGUCAAGGGACGCAUGUGGUCCCUGGCUCGGCCACAUGGGGCCAGUCAGGCUCUGAGGGACAAGAGCAUGCAGCCCACAGUCCUGUGGUAGUGGGUUUUCGUGGCUUAUCUCGUGUCCCCUCUGCAAGGCCUCAUGGACGGGUGCCAGCGCCCACCGCCUGUGCAGAUGAGGACACGAAGGCAGAGUGCAGGGCAGCAAUGCCCACGACCACAUAGAAGGCCCAGGGUUCUCUACAUGGCUCAGCCCAAAGCACAUGGGCCCAAAGGGUGGCCCACGCGGCCACAGAGCAAUGGCCAGCAGCUCUCCCUCCUUCCAGCCUGCCCCCUACUGGGGCCAGGUCAUGUCACCAGCCUCCUCCCCAUCCCCUUCUCCCUCGCCCAGAAUGGCCUCUCCCCACCCACAGUCCCCACCGGUUCUCCACAGGGCACAGCUGCCUCCCGCAGCCCCAAAGGCCCAUGUGUCCCCACCACACCCGACCACUCCUGGGCCAGCACUGGCCAUCCCAGGACGAGGAGAGGCCUAAGCAUCUGUCCCCAGUGAAGACAGCCUCUGGGGGACAAUUUCCCGAGCCUGGAGCCAGAGGGUCUAUAGAGACCUGAGCCCCAGGAAAGGUGUGGGUGUGGGGCCCCCCGGGACUGAUUUGCAGAUGAACAGGGAAUCUACGCAGAUCCUGAGCCCCACGAGAGCUGUGGGUGUGGGGCCCCCCGGGACUGAUCUGCAGAUGAACAGGGAAUCUAUGCAGAUCCUGAGCCCCAGGAGAGCUGUGGGUGUGGGGCCCCCCGGGACCGAUUCACAGAUGAAGGGGGAUCUACACAGAUCCUCCAGCACUUACAGAAAGGAAACCGCGGAGCAGAGACCACUUGCAAAGGCAGUACUGUGGCAUGAAAACCCCACCCUGGGGGCAGGGGCUCCUGGGGGAGUCUCCGUCGGAAGUGCAGUGCUCAGUCCAGGCUGUGCAGAGGUGGUGCGUGCAGCCACAGAGGACGUCAGCUGUGGCCAUGGUUGGGGAGGACAGCUGGAAACAUCGGCUUCACAGGCAGCAUUGCCCAGACAGUAGCUUGUACCCCUUGGCACACCAAAAACCAGGCAGGACCCGAACACUGAGCUUCAGAGCAGGGGUGAGGGAGCCCCUGCUCAGACUCCAAGAGUCCCAGAGCCAAGCGGCGAGGAACUUGUUCAAGUCCAGCAAAUCUGAGACCAGAGGGAGGCCAGCCCUCCGCCCUCCUUGGGGUAGAUCAGCCACCACCGUCGGCUCCAUGCAGGUCGCCCAGCACUGGCGGCUUCACAAGCCCCAUGCAGCCAGCAGGCGACUCACCACGUAGACGCGGCUGCCGCAGGGCAGAGACGAUCCGGACUGCCAGGGGCGUAGGGUCCUGACCCCAGGACCUGUGCCUAGGCCACCUUGCAGGGCAGCAGGGACUCUGCAGGUGUGACUGAAUGUUUCAGAGGGUGGCAGGUGUGGACGGGGCUUCCCCAGACACUUAUGCUCCCCACGGUCCUGGAGGCCCUCUCUCUGCCCAGCCUCGCAUGGGGGGCCCUGCCCUCUCUCUUUCCUCUCUGUGCCCCCACGGCCCCUGACUUCUGACAGCCCCAUCCUGUGUUGGAUGUGGUGGGGAGGGUCAUUCAUUGACCAACACACAUGAACAGAGCCCUCCCAAUGACAGGGCCACAGCCCCACCCACCCACUGGAGUGAGCUCCCUACCAGAGGAGGUAGUGGGAGAAAAUCAAGCUGGUGGAGAAGCAUUCCAGGUGGUGGCAUGUGCUGCCAGGAAACACUUUUUUUUAUGGAGACAGGGUCUCUCGCUCUGUCGCCCAGGCUGGAAUGCAGUAGUUUGAUCAUGGUUCACUGCAGCCUCCACCUCCUGGGCUCCAGCUAUCUUCCUACCUCAGCCUUCUGAGUAGCUAGGACCAGAGACAUGCACCACCAUGCCUGCUAAAGGAAGUACAUUUGUAAAAGUGGCCCCCAACAACUAGCUGCCAAAGUAAAAGCAAGAUGGACAACGGCACCAGCAGACUUCAAAUCCCAGCACAGGACAGUCUCCCCAAGACCUGGCACCUCGCAGAGGGACCCAUGGGCACAGGAGCGCGGGCACAAGCGGAACGGCUCCAGGACUGUAUUCCAUGCCAGCACUGCCCCUGCUCCAGAUCUGACUUUGCAGGUGGGGCCCAGCCCUUCCCGUGUCCUGGUGGGAGCCUUUGUGGCUUCUGUACUUUCAGCACCCUUGGCUAGGCCUUCUCCAACAAUGGAAAAACUUUGUAAUGCAAAUCUUACUCGUUAAAGAACUUAGCUGCCAGGUACAGCAGGAGGAUACCAGGAGUUUGAGAUCAGCCAACAUGGCGAGACCCCGUUUCUACAAAAAAUACAAACAGAGGCACUGUGGGGGGCUGAGGUGGACAGAUCACCUGAGCUCAGGAGUUCGACACCAGCCUGGCCAACAUGGUGAAACCUCGUCUCUACUAAAAAAUAAAAAUUAGCUGGGCAUGGUGGCA
Long non-coding RNA from Homo sapiens (human), 4109 nucleotides. RefSeq lists it as uncharacterized. NCBI's taxonomy places the organism in Eukaryota, Metazoa, Chordata, Mammalia, Primates, Hominidae. The record is from RefSeq and is a predicted model, not a curated record. The transcript is spliced from 2 exons.